GAUGUCUUAGGGAACAAAUUUAGUAUAUUAAGAUCACCAGGAUCUGUUGUUUUCUGGAAUGGAAAUUGGCCUAUUCCAGGAGAGUGAAUCCCAAAGGUGGCUGCAUUGUCCAUGGGCUUCUCUGUGAAAGAAGACCUUUCUUAGCCAGCCCUUGAAGUAGGUAACCUACUCCACCAUCCCCAGGCUGCUGUGAUGGUGAUGGUGGAAGCAGUGGGCAAGCUUGCUCUCCCCCUAGGCAGUGUCAUUUCAUACCCUUUGGAGAAUGCAGUUCCUUUUAGUCUUGACAGCGUGGCAAAUUCCGUUCACUCCUUAUUUUUGAAGAAACUCUGGCGGUUUUGCAGUUGGCUCCCAGUAAGGAAAGAGUGUACAUGGUGGGGAAAGCAAACUCGGUUUUUAAAGAUCUCUCAGUAAUGCUCAGACAGCUCCACGAUCGACUGUUUCAAGAAACCUCUGCUCUCACUUCACUUCCCCUCAAUUCUCUGAGUAGGAACAAUGAAGUUGAUCUCCUUUUUCUUUCUGAACUGCAAGUGUUGCAUGAUAUUUCAGGUUUGUUGUCCCAACGUAAGCAUCUAGCCAAGGAUCAUUCUCCUGAUUUAUACUCACCGGAGCUACCAGGUCUGGAUGAAAUUGGGAAAAAUUAUGGGCAUGACUCGGAACAAUUCAGAGAUGCCUCUAAGAUCCUCGUUGAUGCUCUGCAAAAGUGUGCAGAUGGCAUGUACAGUCUCUAUGGUGGGAAUGCAGUGGUAGAGUUAGGGAUUGUCAGAUCAUUCGACACAUCCUUUAUGAGGAAGCCAAAGACUAUCCUUAAGACAAAACAAGUGAAGGACCCCUCAUCUCCCUAUAACCUUGCCUAUAAAUAUAAUUUCGAAUGUCCAGUGGUUUUCAACCUGGUACUUUGGACAAUGAUCAGCUUGGCCUUGACUCUGAUUGUCAACUGUUACAAUAUUUGGAAUAUGGAUCCUGGAAAUGAUAGCAUCAUUUAUAGGAUGACAAACCAGAAGAUUUAAAUAGAUUGAACUUUCCUUACGCCAAACUUGGAAAGAAAGAGGGUUUUGAAUUGGCUGUUUCAUCGAAAUAAAUCUUUUAGUGUAGUUUAAACUAUAUAAUACACUUUAAAUUUAU
Non-coding RNA from Odocoileus virginianus texanus, 1122 nucleotides. NCBI's taxonomy places the organism in Eukaryota, Metazoa, Chordata, Mammalia, Artiodactyla, Cervidae. The record is from RefSeq and is a predicted model, not a curated record.